CGGUACGUACUGGCAUUGUUGGUUUCUCCCUUCUGACGAACCAUGAUGUCAUUUAUUUGGUGUUGUGGGGAAUCGGGACUGUUACUUUGAAAAAAUUAGAGUGUUUAAAGCAGGCUCACGCUUGAAUACAUUAGCAUGGAAUAAUGAAAUAGGACGUUUGAUUCUAUUUUGUUGGUUUCUAGGAUCGACGUAAUGAUUAAUAGGGAUAGUUGGGGGCAUUAGUAUUCAAUUGUCAGAGGUGAAAUUCUUGGAUUUAUUGAAGACUAACUACUGCGAAAGCAUUUGCCAAGGAUGUUUUCAUUAAUCAAGAACGAAAGUUAGGGGAUCGAAGACGAUCACAUACCGUCGUAGUCUUAACCAUAAACUAUGCCGACUAGGGAUCGGAUGAUGUUAAUUUUUUAAUGACUCAUUCGGCGCCUUACC
RNAcentral lists this ribosomal RNA (423 nucleotides) under uncultured Glomeromycotina. RNAcentral describes it as "SSU rRNA". It matches the Rfam family "Eukaryotic small subunit ribosomal RNA", at positions 671 to 1092 of the family's 1831-position model. The record is from RNAcentral. Lineage: Eukaryota; Fungi; Glomeromycota.